This 21-nucleotide microRNA is filed under the name Medicago truncatula (barrel medic). Its description in RNAcentral is "mtr-miR5235b". Lineage: Eukaryota; Viridiplantae; Streptophyta; Magnoliopsida; Fabales; Fabaceae. The record is from miRBase by way of RNAcentral.
AUAAGGUCAAUGAUUGGCGUG